GGGGGUGUCACGGUUUCGACUGGGAAGUGAAGUAUUGAUUGCAUGCGGAGGGUAUCGGUUGGCCUCCUAAAAAAGCCGGUAAACAAUUAAGUGCCAACAAUAGCACUUUUGCUUCUGACGAAGAAGCAGAAUUUUUACUCGCUGCUUAAUCGCUGCUAGUAAACAGUAGUCUAAAACUGGACCGAGGGUUUUAGAGUCUACUGUCAUUCACUUGGUAUGACUAGUCUUCUUCUGCCUCAGAGAGGAUUAGCUCAAGAUUAAUUGGGGUGAAUUAGUUCCAAUGUUGUGUUCUGCAUGGGGGCUAAUUUAUUUUCAGAACACUAAGCAUGUAGUGGUCAAUAUGUAGGUUGCUCAGGACGAGAGUUCAAUUCUCUCCACCUCCAA
Molecule: transfer-messenger RNA, 384 nt
Filed under: Chlamydiales bacterium 38-26
Lineage: Bacteria; Pseudomonadati; Chlamydiota; Chlamydiia; Chlamydiales
Also listed under: 1 other name
Rfam family: transfer-messenger RNA
About the family: Bacterial tmRNA, also known as 10Sa RNA or SsrA, is named for its dual tRNA and mRNA-like properties. Its role is to liberate the mRNA from a stalled ribosome.
Source: RNAcentral